RNAcentral lists this ribosomal RNA (548 nucleotides) under uncultured bacterium. Its description in RNAcentral is "bacterial SSU rRNA". It matches the Rfam family "Bacterial small subunit ribosomal RNA", at positions 355 to 896 of the family's 1533-position model. The record is from RNAcentral.
UAGGGAAUCUUCCGCAAUGGGCGAAAGCCUGACGGAGCAACGCCGCGUGAGUGAAGAAGGAUUUCGGUUCGUAAAGCUCUGUUGUUAGGGAAGAAUGAUUGUAUAGUAACUAUAUACAGUAGAGACGGUACCUAACCAGAAAGCCACGGCUAGCUACGUGCCAGCAGCCGCGGUAAUACGUAGGUGGCAAGCGUUGUCCGGAAUUAUUGGGCGUAAAGCGCGCGCAGGUGGUUUAAUAAGUCUGAUGUGAAAGCCCACGGCUCAACCGUGGAGGGUCAUUGGAAACUGUUAAACUUGAGUGCAGGAGAGAAAAGUGGAAUUCCUAGUGUAGCGGUGAAAUGCGUAGAGAUUAGGAGGAACACCAGUGGCGAAGGCGGCUUUUUGGCCUGUAACUGACACUGAGGCGCGAAAGCGUGGGGAGCAAACAGGAUUAGAUACCCUGGUAGUCCACGCCGUAAACGAUGAGUGCUAAGUGUUGGUCUCAUAAGAGAUCAGUGCUGCAGCUAACGCAUUAAGCACUCCGCCUGGGGAGUACGACCGCAAGGUUG